UAAAACAUGCAAGUUGAACGCGAAAGUCUUCGGAGUGAGUAGAGUGGCGGACGGGUGAGUAACGCGUAGGUAUCUACCUUGAAGUGGGGGACAACCUGGGGAAACCCAGGCUAAUACCGCAUACGCCCUACGGGGGAAAGUGGGGGUCGGCUCGCGCUUCAAGAUGAGCCUACGUCCGAUUAGCUUGUUGGUGGGGUAAAGGCCUACCAAGGCGACGAUCGGUAGCUGGUCUGAGAGGACGAUCAGCCACACUGGGACUGAGACACGGCCCAGACUCCUACGGGAGGCAGCAGUGGGGAAUAUUGGACAAGGGCGCAAGCCUGAUCCAGCAAUGCCGCGUGUGUGAAGAAGGCCUGCGGGUUGUAAAGCACUUUCAGUAGGGAAGAAAAGCUCAUGGUUAAUACCCGUGGGUCUUGACGUUACCUACACAAGAAGCACCGGCUAAUUCAGUGCCAGCAGCCGCGGUAAUACUGAAGGUGCAAGCGUUAAUCGGAAUUACUGGGCGUAAAGCGCACGUAGGCGGUUGAGUCAGUCGGAUGUGAAAGCCCCGGGCUUAACCUGGGAAUUGCAUUCGAUACUGCUCGACUUGAGUAUGGUAGAGGGUAGCGGAAUUCCGGGUGUAGCGGUGAAAUGCGUAGAUAUCCGGAGGAACAUCAGUGGCGAAGGCGGCUGCCUGGACCAAUACUGACGCUGAGGUGCGAAAGCGUGGGAGCAAACAGGAUUAGAUACCCUGGUAGUCCACGCCGUAAACGAUGUCGACUAGCCGUUGGGCUUAGAGGGUUUAGUGGCGCAGCUAACGCGAUAAGUUCUCCGCCUGGGGAGUACGGCCGCAAGGUUAAAACUCAAAUGAAUUGACGGGGGCCCGCACAAGCGGUGGAGCAUGUUGUUUAAUUCGAUGCAACGCGAAGAACCUUACCACCCCUUGACAUACUCGGAACUCGGCAGAGAUGCCUUGGUGCCUUCGGGAACCGAGAUACAGGUGCUGCAUGGCUGUCGUCAGCUCGUGUCGUGAGAUGUUGGGUUAAGUCCCGUAACGAGCGCAACCCUUGUCCUUACUUGCCAGCGGGUAAUGCCGGGAACUUUAAGGAGACUGCCGGUGACAAACCGGAGGAAGGUGGGGACGACGUCAAGUCAUCAUGGCCCUUACGGGGUGGGCUACAAACGUGCUACAAUGGGAAGUACAAAGGGCUGCAAACCAGCAAUGGUAAGCGAAUCCCAAAAAGCUUCUCGUAGUCCGGAUAGGAGUCUGCAACUCGACUCCUUGAAGUCGGAAUCGCUAGUAAUCGCGAAUCAGAAUGUCGCGGUGAAUACGUUCCCGGGCCUUGUACACACCGCCCGUCACACCAUGGAAGUUGUUUGCACCAGAAGUAGGUAGUCUAACCCCCGGGAGGCGUUUACCACG
RNAcentral lists this ribosomal RNA (1402 nucleotides) under uncultured prokaryote. RNAcentral's name for it is "partial 16S ribosomal RNA". It matches the Rfam family "Bacterial small subunit ribosomal RNA". The record is from RNAcentral.